AUUGAACGCUGGCGGCAGGCCUAACACAUGCAAGUCGAGCGGAUGAAGGGAGCUUGCUCCUGGAUUCAGCGGCGGACGGGUGAGUAAUGCCUAGGAAUCUGCCUGGUAGUGGGGGAUAACGUCCGGAAACGGGCGCUAAUACCGCAUACUUCCUGAGGGAGAAAGUGGGGGAUCUUCGGACCUCACGCUAUCAGAUGAGCCUAGGUCGGAUUAGCUAGUUGGUGGGGUAAAGGCCUACCAAGGCGACGAUCCGUAACUGGUCUGAGAGGAUGAUCAGUCACACUGGAAGUGAGACACGGUCCAGACUCCUACGGGAGGCAGCAGUGGGGAAUAUUGGACAAUGGGCGAAAGCCUGAUCCAGCCAUGCCGCGUGUGUGAAGAAGGUCUUCGGAUUGUAAAGCACUUUAAGUGGGGAGGAAGGGCAGUAAGUUAAUACCUUGCUGUUUUGACGUUACCAACAGAAUAAGCACCGGCUAACUUCGUG
RNAcentral lists this ribosomal RNA (484 nucleotides) under uncultured bacterium. Its description in RNAcentral is "partial 16S ribosomal RNA". It matches the Rfam family "Bacterial small subunit ribosomal RNA", at positions 30 to 507 of the family's 1533-position model. The record is from RNAcentral.